This 2811-nucleotide ribosomal RNA is filed under the name bioreactor metagenome. RNAcentral's name for it is "bacterial LSU rRNA". It matches the Rfam family "Archaeal large subunit ribosomal RNA". The record is from RNAcentral.
AUGCCGUUUGGUGGAUGGCUGGGCUCAAGAACCGAUGAAGGACGUGCCAAGCUGCGAUAAGCCACGGGGAGGCGCAUGGAACCUUUGAUCCGUGGAUUUCCUAAUGGGAACUCCUGCAUCUUUUUAGGUGCAUUCCGUAAUGGAAGGGGAACGCCCUGAGUUGAAACAUCUGCGUAGGGGCAGGAGAAGAAAUCAAAUCGAGAUGCUGUUAGUAACGGCGAGUGAACACAGCAAAGCCCAAACUGAAUCCCCGCAAGGGGAGAUGUGGUGUAGUAAAACCACCUUUUAAGACUUGUGCGUGAUAGACUAACUCCACUGGAACGUGGGACCGUAGAGGGUGAUAGUCCCGUUGUUUUCGCAAACAAGCUGUGGUGUGUUUUGAGUACCGUGGGUCGGAUAUCUCGCGGGAAUCCGGGGGACACUUACCUCCAAGGCUAAACAUAUCUUGAGACCGAUAGCGCAAUAGUAGAGUGAUCGAAAGCUGAAAAGCACCCCGUGAAGGGAGGCGAAAAGAGCCUGAAAUCAAACGGUGACGGAGGGACAAGGCAUGAAAGGAUCUUCUCGUUGAAAGAAGCAGUCGCGAGGCUGUUGUAUGAAACGAGUUGCCAGUGUCUUGUCGUACGUUUUGAAGAACGGGCCAAGGAGUGCAACAGAAUGGCGAGGCUAACCACACAUGGGGAGCCGAAGGGAAACCAACAUGCACGCAAGCAAUGAGGUGCGGCGUAUUCAAGUGCGCGGAGUCAUUAGGUUGCGACCCGAAACCAGGUGAUCUAGACGUGGGCAGAUUGAAGCGUAACGAAAGUUACGUGGAGGAUCGUUAGCGGUGUUGAUAUGCAAAUCACUCGCGUGACCUGCGCCUAGGGGUGAAAGUCCAAUCGAACUUGGAAACAGCUGGUUCCCUCCGAAACAUAUCGUAGUAUGACCUCGCACGAGGCCGUGGGCGGAGUAGAGCACUGAUUAGGGGAGCCGGGCGGGAAACUGCUCGUCCUCUUGUCAAACUCCAAAGCCGCUCUCGCUGUAGACUGCGGGCAGUCCGGGCUGGUGGGUAAGCUACUAGUCCGUAAGGGAGACAACCCAGACCAGGGUUAAGGUCCUUAAUUGUCGGCUAAGUGUCAACACUGAAGGGCGUCCCAAGCCCUAGACAACCGGGAGGUGAGCUUAGAAGCAGCUACCCUCUAAGAAAAGCGUAACAGCUUACCGGUCGAGGUUUGGGGCCCCGAAAAUUGACGGGGCUAAAGCCGACAACCGAGACCCUGGAACACUGAAAAGUGAUUUCGUAGGAGGGCGCAACAUGUGGAUAGAAGCAGGGCUGUAAGGUCCUGUGGACCACAUGCUGACGAAAAUCUUGGCAUUAGUAGCAGCUUAGCAAGGUGAGAAUCCUUGCCGCCGAAAGGGCUAGGUUUCCUCGGCAAUGAUCGUCAGCCGAGGGUUAGUCGAUCCUAAGACCCACCUUAAUCGGAGUGGGCCGAAAGGGAAACAGGUUAAUAUUCCUGUACUUGCAUGUGCUAAAACCGACGCUUGGGGCCAGCACCGGCAAAACCGUCGUUUUGCUCAAACUAAUAGCACCAUGGAGAAACGUCAUGUUGAGAAGUGGUGUAAUAUGUGAUGACGUAAGCGGUGUAACGCCCGGAGCCCAUGAAAAGGGAACAUGCAAACCGUACCAAGAUCCGACACUGGUGCCCCUAGUUAAGAAGACUAAGGCGUGUCGGCAUACCGUAGCCAAGGGAAUUCGGCAAAUUAGCUCCGUAACUUCGGGAUAAGGAGUGCCUGCCUUGAAGAAGGCAGGUCGCAGUGACGAGGGAGCACUAACUGUCUAAUAACAACAUAGCUGAUCGCCAAACUGUAAAGUCUAGUACGAUCAGUGAAUCCUGCCCAGUGCAGGUACCUGAAAACCUCGUUCAAGGGGAAGAAGGGCCUGUCAACGGCGGGGGUAACUAUAACCCUCUUAAGGUAGCGUAGUACCUUGCCGCUUAAUUGGCGGCUUGCAUGAAUGGAUCAAUGAGUGCUCUACUGUCCCUGGCUACGCGCCGGUGAACAUUACAUCCUAGUGCAGAGUCUAGGGACCCCUAAUGGGAAGUGAAGACCCCGUGGAGCUUUACUGCAACCUGUCGCUGGGUUGUGGCCCUGGAUGUGCAGAGUAGGUAGGACCCGUCGAUCUCCGGACGCUAGUUCGGAGGGAGGGGACGAUGAGACACUACCCUUCUUGGACUACGACCCUAACUCAGAGAUGAGGACCCCGAUAGGUGGGCAGUUUGGCUGGGGCGGCACGCCCUCGAAAAGGUAUCGAGGGCGCCCUAAGGUCAACUCAAUCGAGUCAGAAACUCGAUGGAGAGUGUAAGAGCAUAAGUUGGCUUGACUGAGACUCGCACAACGAGAGUCGCAGAAACGAAAGUUGGGUCUAACGAACCACUACGCCCCCUAAGUGGGGGCUAUUGAUGUCAGAAAAGCUACCCCGGGGAUAACAGAGUCGUCGCCGGCAAGAGUACAUAUCGACCCGGCGGCUUGCUACCUCGAUGUCGGUUCUUUCCAUCCUGGCAGUGCAGCAGCUGCCAAGGGUGAGGUUGUUCGCCUAUUAAAGGAGAUCGUGAGCUGGGUUUAGACCGUCGUGAGACAGGUCGGUUACUAUCUGUUAGGGGUGUUUGGUGGUCUGAACGGAAGUUGCUUUUAGUACGAGAGGAACAAGGCAACGGCGCCACUAGUCAACCAGUUGUUUGACAAAGCACGGCUGGGCAGCCACGCGCCACGUUGUAAGGGCUGAAAGCAUCUAAGCCCGAAAAACACCGCAAAAAGAGACCACAAUCGGGCCCUCGU